GCGCAGCAGUCGCGAAUCUUCCACAAUGGACGAAAGUCUGAUGGAGCGACGCCGCGUGCGGGAUGAAGGCCUUAUGGGUUGUAAACCGCUGUCAGGGGGGGAAGAACAUCGGAAUGAACAAUACUCAUUCCGACUGACGUUACCCCCAGAGGAAGCUCCGGCCAACUCCGUGCCAGCAGCCGCGGUAAUACGGGGGGAGCAAGCGUUGUCCGGAAUUAUUGGGCGUAAAGGGCGUGUAGGCGGCGAGGUAAGUCGAAUGUGAAAUCUCACGGCUCAACCGUGAAACUGCGUUACGAAACUACCCUGCUUGAGUACGGGAGAGGUGUACGGAUUCCGUGGUGUAGGCGGUGGAAUGGCGUAAGAUAUCGAGGAAGAACACC
RNAcentral lists this ribosomal RNA (380 nucleotides) under uncultured microorganism. RNAcentral's name for it is "bacterial SSU rRNA". It matches the Rfam family "Bacterial small subunit ribosomal RNA", at positions 346 to 710 of the family's 1533-position model. The record is from RNAcentral.